This 395-nucleotide ribosomal RNA is filed under the name Phylloscopus umbrovirens mackenzianus. RNAcentral's name for it is "Seicercus umbrovirens mackenzianus partial 12S ribosomal RNA". It matches the Rfam family "Bacterial small subunit ribosomal RNA", at positions 794 to 1384 of the family's 1533-position model. Lineage: Eukaryota; Metazoa; Chordata; Aves; Passeriformes; Phylloscopidae. The record is from RNAcentral.
GCCUGGCCCUAAAUCUUGAUGCUCGAUCUUACCGGAGCAUCCGCCCGAGAACUACGAGCACCAACGCUUAAAACUCUAAGGACCUGGCGGUGCUCCAAACCCGCCUAGAGGAGCCUGUUCUGUAAUCGAUGAUCCACGAUAUACCUGACCAUUCCUUGCCAAAUCAGCCUAUAUACCGCCGUCGCCAGCCCACCCAGCAUGAAGGCCCAGCAGUGGACGCAACAGCCUAACCCGCUAAUAAGACAGGUCAAGGUAUAGCCUAUGGAAUGGAGGCAAUGGGCUACAUUUUCUAAGAUAGAACAUCACGGCAAAGGGAUAUGAAACUGUCCCUGGAAGGAGGAUUUAGCAGUAAAGUGGGACAAUCGAGCCCUCUUUAAGCCGGCCCUGGAGCACGU